AGGGAGCGGUGCGUGCGCGAAGACGGCGGCGGCGCGCGCUGUGUCCGGUCCCCUCCCCCCAGGGGUCCGUGAGGGCAGGGAGAGCCCGCGGAGCGCUUUUGUCGCGGGAAAUGGGGCUGGGGCUGUUUGCCCGGGAAUGUUCGUGAAGUGCCUUUAGCAGAAUCCCUGGGGCAGAGCAGGCUGCUGUGCAGUGGAGAAGACCAGGGCCCUCUCUGCCCUCACAUCGCCACAUCGCUGCCCUCACAUCGCCACAUUGCUGCCCUCACAUCGCCACAUUGCUGCCCUCACAUCGCCACAUUGCUGCCCUCAUAUCGCCACAUUGCUGCCCUCACUGCCAGCAAGGAACUGUUGAGGGCAGUGGCUAUGAAGAAGGAGCAGCCCUUCCCUUGCAGGGCUACACGUUCCUGCCGGUGCAGCAGCAGCAGCCUCCCCUCCCUCCUUCCUCUCCCCUCUCUUAGUUACUGUCCUGUCCCUCUUCUACAUCUCUAGUGCAACACUCAAUUUUGCAUGUUCUUCUGAGGUACUCUGAUCCAUACUUACUCUCCAUGUACAUUUCUGAACAUGAAAAGUA
Molecule: long non-coding RNA, 571 nt
Organism: Haemorhous mexicanus (house finch)
Lineage: Eukaryota; Metazoa; Chordata; Aves; Passeriformes; Fringillidae
Exons: 2
Source: RefSeq, a predicted model, not a curated record